Molecule: ribosomal RNA, 257 nt
Filed under: uncultured bacterium
Lineage: Bacteria
Description: partial 16S ribosomal RNA
Rfam family: Bacterial small subunit ribosomal RNA
Source: RNAcentral
UACGUAGGGGGGCAAGCGUUGUCCGGAUUUAUUGGGCGUAAAGAGCGUGUAGGCGGUUUGGUAGGUCCGCUGUGAAAAACUCGAGGCUCAACCUCGAGACGCCGGUGGAAACCAUCAGGCUAGAGUCCGGAAGAGAAGAGUGGAAUUCCACGUGUAGCGGUGAAAUGCGUAGAGAUGUGGAGGAACACCAGUGGCGAAGGCGACUCUUUGGUCUGUAACUGACGCUGAGGCGCGAAAAGCGUGGGGGAGCAAACAGG